GAUGAAGAACGUAGCGAAAUGCGAUAAGUAAUGUGAAUUGCAGAAUUCAGUGAAUCAUCGAAUCUUUGAACGCACCUUGCGCCUUUUGGUAUUCCGAAAGGCACACCUGUUUGAGCGUCAUGAAUACCUCAAUCUCCAUCUUUUCUUCAGAUUGAUGGGUGACUUGGAUGUUGAGCCCUGCUGGUAUGCUAUAUCAGCUGGCUUUAAACUUAUUAGCCGGCUCUGUACUGGAUCGGUUUGACUCGACGUGAUAAUAUUAUCGUUGAGGAUGCAUGUCUCAUGCAGCCGGAAAGUAUCAAAGCAGCUUCUAGCUUGCCUUUAGUGCACUUUUACAUUUUAGACCUCAGAUCAGGUGGGACUACCCGCUGAACUUAAGCAUAUCAAUAAGCGGAGGA
Molecule: unclassified non-coding RNA, 395 nt
Filed under: soil metagenome
Description: partial contains 5.8S ribosomal RNA, internal transcribed spacer 2, and large subunit ribosomal RNA
Rfam family: 5.8S ribosomal RNA (bases 1-120)
Source: RNAcentral